GAUGAACGCUGGCGGCGUGCCUAAUACAUGCAAGUCGAGCGAACAGAUGAGGAGCUUGCUCCUCUGACGUUAGCGGCGGACGGGUGAGUAACACGUGUAUAACCUACCUAUAAGACUGGUAUAACUUCGGGAAACCGGAGCUAAUACCGGAGAAUCUCUUGAACCGCAUGGUUCAAUAGUGAAAGACGGCUUUGCUGUAACGUAUAGAUGGAUCCGCGCCGCUUGGGCUAGUUGGUAAGGUAAAGGGUUACCAAGGCAACGAUGCGUAGCCGAACUGAGAGGGUGAUCGGCCACACGGGAACGGAGACGCGGUCCAGACUCCUACGGGAGGGAGCAGUAGGGUAUCUUCCGCAGUGGGCGAAAGCCUGACGGAGCAACGCCGCGUGAGUGAUGAAGGUCUUCGGAUCGUAAAACUCUGUUAUGAGUGAAGAACAGAUGUGUAAGUAACUAUGCACGUCUUGACGGUACCUAAUCAGAAAGCCACGGCUAACUACGUG
Molecule: ribosomal RNA, 497 nt
Filed under: uncultured bacterium
Lineage: Bacteria
Description: partial 16S ribosomal RNA
Rfam family: Bacterial small subunit ribosomal RNA
Source: RNAcentral